GGCGUUUUUCGACAAUUCCGGAGAAAAAAGAGGGGGCCUCGUUCACACCACUAUGCUUUCUUCAAUCUGCCCAUAAACCCUUUUACUUUAAACUAAAAUAUAAUCAUUUCAAGUCAACAAUUAUAGCCCCAUUCUUCCCUCCACCUGAAGAGUAAUGAAGUAAAGAUGGCUGCUUUUAUCGAGUUAAGCCGCUUCUUUAUUGCCCCACAAUCUUCAUGCUGGCUGCACUAUUACACCUAAAAGCAAUGUAAAGCAACACCCUAAAGCAAAAGCCACCUCAAUAAUCAAACACGCACCCGUAAUCAUGCGCCCCCCCCUCAGGUGGUGGC
Molecule: long non-coding RNA, 329 nt
Filed under: Salvia miltiorrhiza (redroot sage)
Lineage: Eukaryota; Viridiplantae; Streptophyta; Magnoliopsida; Lamiales; Lamiaceae
Description: long non-coding RNA (SMIL_LNC008246)
Source: RNAcentral